CUCUGUUAACACAUCCACUCACACCCUGUGCACCCUCUGUAGUUCUGUGGUUGGGGGACCUGUCCUCCUGCUGUGGUUCCUGCAUCUUUACACACACACACUGUAACAAAGUCUCAUGGAAUGCAUCUGCGUUUAACGCAAUACAAUACAACUUUCAGCAACGGAUCUCUUGGCUCUCGCAUCGAUGAAGAACGCAGCGAAAUGCGAUAAGUAAUGUGAAUUGCAGAAUUCAGUGAAUCAUCGAAUCUUUGAACGCACCUUGCGCCCUUUGGCCAUUCCGAAGGGCAUGCCUGUUUGAGUAUCAUGAACACCUCAACUCUUCAUGGUUUUCUGUGAUGAGCUUGGACUUUGGGGGUUUUGCUGGCCUAUGGUCGGCUCCUCUAAAAUGAAUCAGCUUGCCAGUGUUUGGUGGGCAUCACAGGUGUGAUAACUAUCUACGCUUGUGGUUUUCCCACCAGGUAACCUUCAG
This 469-nucleotide ribosomal RNA is filed under the name uncultured Tomentella. RNAcentral's name for it is "eukaryotic LSU rRNA". The stretch from base 150 to 304 matches the Rfam family "5.8S ribosomal RNA". The record is from RNAcentral. Lineage: Eukaryota; Fungi; Basidiomycota; Agaricomycetes; Thelephorales; Thelephoraceae.